GAUAUAUUAACUGAAAUGAAAUUAGCUAUUGGAUAAUAUUUGGAAUACAGAAUAUCAAAACUCCCAAAGAGGGAAACAGGCAUGCACGCCAUUAAUUACCUCUUAGUCUCAUGGGUAUAAUCCUAUAUUUAAUAGAAUUAAUCAAGGGGGAAAAAUCUACAAUUGCCCUAGAGCCUUCAAUCUCAAUGAUAAUAAAUUAAGCUGUUUUUAGGGAAAAAAAAAAAAAAAAAAAA
Molecule: long non-coding RNA, 233 nt
Filed under: Jatropha curcas
Lineage: Eukaryota; Viridiplantae; Streptophyta; Magnoliopsida; Malpighiales; Euphorbiaceae
Description: long non-coding RNA (JCUR_LNC003482)
Source: RNAcentral